Molecule: small RNA, 145 nt
Filed under: Rhizobium etli bv. mimosae str. Mim1
Lineage: Bacteria; Pseudomonadati; Pseudomonadota; Alphaproteobacteria; Hyphomicrobiales; Rhizobiaceae
Description: miscellaneous other RNA
Source: RNAcentral
CAGGCCGGUCUUCUGACUUGGCGUCAUCCGUCUGCCGCAGCCUUCCCGGCAAAACCCAGUGGCAUGAUGAAGCGGCGGGCGUCGGCCUUACAGCGUUGGGCACGUUCCGGUCUUGCACCGGAUUCCCGAUUCUCCCGCGUGAAAG